RNAcentral lists this ribosomal RNA (248 nucleotides) under uncultured bacterium. RNAcentral's name for it is "partial 16S ribosomal RNA". It matches the Rfam family "Bacterial small subunit ribosomal RNA", at positions 85 to 334 of the family's 1533-position model. The record is from RNAcentral.
UUGCUGGCGACCGGCGCACGGGUGAGUAACACGUAUCCAACCUGCCGAUAACUCGGGGAUAGCCUUUCGAAAGAAAGAUUAAUACCCGAUGGUAUAAUCAGACCGCAUGGUCUUGUUAUUAAAGAAUUUCGGUUAUCGAUGGGGAUGCGUUCCAUUAGGCAGUUGGUGAGGUAACGGCUCACCAAACCUUCGAUGGAUAGGGGUUCUGAGAGGAAGGUCCCCCACAUUGGAACUGAGACACGGUCCAA